UUUUCGGCAGAAACACCACUGAUGACUGACACCGCCGAUGUAUGUCAGACAAUGUCAGACGAUCUGACAGAUGUGCGUCUUAUUUGUAUUACUUGAUACUCAGAGCAAGGUAUCUUUUAUUUCAAAUAUUUAUUAAUGCAGAUUGUUCCAGUUCUUUUCUUACAUCUGGGAUGUUCACUUUUUUAUAAUUUAGUAUUCACCAAAUUAUAUAAUUAAAUGGCGGAUUAUAAGGAAAGAAAAGAGAGAAUGCGUAAAAAGCGCACUAACAAAGCAGAAUAUAAUAAAUUUCCUUCACCAAACAAUGUACAACAUUUAAAGAGUGAUCAGAAACUACGGACACCUGAAGAUGAAAUUUGCCAGAAAUUAUCUUCAAAUUGGGAUAGAUAUGAUGAGCUCCCAGAAAAUGAUGAUAAUUGUGCCAUCACUGAUUUUAAAACUCUUUUGAAUGCUCCGAUAUCAAAUGGAGGUCAUUUUGUAUUUAAGUUAGAAAAAAACUGGGCAAUCGAGAGCUCAAAAUACUCGAAAUUGUUUUCAUUGAACAUUAAACAAUUAGGGAAGGCUAUUGAUUGUAUUCCAUUCAAUCAGUAUAUUGAUGUGGAUGAUAAAUAUUUUACUAAAGAUCAAUUAACAGAAAUUCAUAAUACUGCAGAGAGAGCAAAAAUUGAUUAUUUGCAGAAGGUAGAAAUGAUUGAUUCUGUAGCAAGAGAUAUGCAAAAAUGUAAUAUAAAAUCUGACGACAUUAAGAUAGAGUCUGUGACUGUGCCUGAAGCACUUAUGAUCUCUGAAGAACACAAUACUACGCAAACUAACGAUGUGGAAGAAGAGCUAGAUUUUCUUCUUUCCUUGAAAGAACCCAUUAAAAGCGAUCCAAUCACAAUGACACAACCUUCGCGGUCUUAUUCUGAAGAGGUGAAAGCUCAAACAGCAGAUAAAAAUGCAAAAUCAAUUGAUCUUGAAAAAUGGUUGGACUCCGUUUUGGAUGAUUAACGUUGCUUUGAAAUAUACUAAAAUAGUCUUAUAGUAUUUAUUAAGGCACCGUACAAUCGAUACAAACAAUUUUUUACACACUUUUCGACCAUAAACUUGUGUUUAUGUCUGUCUAUAUAUCAGUCUGCAAAUGUUUCUGUCAAAUAAGUAUGCAUGUAAUCAUACACAACGAGCAUAAUAGCACCGCCUGGUCCCAAUCGAAGUAUUUUUGGCAAUAAUCCUUUAUAUAAUGCUCCAAAGCUAAAAUUUCAAAAGUAAAGCCUAUACCCACCUGAAAAGAAAAACGAAGAAUUAUUAUAGGACAAUAAUUCAAAAUUGGUUUAAUAUGAAUAAUAUCUAGUUUACUUUGGUAAAGAAUUCCAACCAGGGAUCAUCACAUAUUGGUAUAUAUCCUUUAACGGAAUGAUAGAAUCCGAAGUAAAAUGAAUUGAAUACAGCAUUUCUCAUAACCGUAGCGCACUCGUAGAUGGGCUAUCCUUCAUCCUUUUCCUGUUUGACUGUAACUGUACUUUAAUUACUUCAAAAGGAUUUACCAAAAUGCCUUCCGUAACACCAGCAAAAAAUCCAGCACAGGAAAACGUCUACAACAAGAAAUUCAUAAUUCCACUGUUUAUCUCUUAGUAUAAUUGUGAGUGAAAAUUUAUCCCAACUAGUAUCACAUAAAAUUAUUUGGAUUAAUUAAAUUCUUUUAUACUCACCAGUGGUGUAGGUGUAUUUGCACCAAAGAGGAAAAAUUGUUUAUACUGCUCAAAUGUAAAGAACUGAAAAAGAUAAAUAUAGUUUCAUAGUA
This is an RNA transcript of Cephus cinctus (wheat stem sawfly), 1777 nucleotides long. RefSeq lists it as uncharacterized. The record is from RefSeq and is a predicted model, not a curated record. The transcript has 7 exons. Lineage: Eukaryota; Metazoa; Arthropoda; Insecta; Hymenoptera; Cephidae.